Long non-coding RNA from Zea mays, 7512 nucleotides. RefSeq lists it as uncharacterized. The record is from RefSeq and is a predicted model, not a curated record. NCBI's taxonomy places the organism in Eukaryota, Viridiplantae, Streptophyta, Magnoliopsida, Poales, Poaceae. The transcript has 3 exons.
CCCUUUCCCUCCUUUGGCCGUCACCCUCCCCCCUCUUCCCUCUUCUCUCUUCCCCAAGUGCUGCAGCCGCCCCCUCUCCAUUCUCAAGUUUUUUUUGCAGCAGCCAUCUCCUCAACCCUAGCCGCCACCCCCCCAUCUCCUCUUCUCCAAGUGUCGUUCUUUCUCGUCGGAUCUUCUUCGUGUGGGUGCAAGUUUCUAUUGGAGAAUUGGUGGGAGGAAGGAAGGAGGAAAAAGGUGGAACUCAAGGUGGUGGACUUCCGGAUCAUACUUAGGGAUUUGCCCGAACUUCCGGUAAAAGCAAGUAAAUACAGUGGUGGUUGCUACCGUUUGGUUUGCAUCCUAUUCCCUGUCAUUGAGUAUGCAUAAGUUUUAAAUAUGUUAAUCAUUGAAUUCUAUGAUGAAGUUUAUUUGUUUGGAAGUAUUAAUUCUCAAUUGUCUAAUAUUGUGGAUGAUCAUAAUUUGGUAAUGAUAUAUGUGGUUGAUUCCCAUCUUGGAUGAAGUUGAAGUAUCUUUUUGAAUCACGUUAUAUGAAGUGUUGUAGGCAUGUCAUGCAUAUCGCAUCAUCCAUCUUGCAUUUUGAAGUUAUGUCGUGAUCUUAUGGUCCGACCGUACCGGUACAUUUUUAGCAUCGUACGUUGCCCGAGGAGGGGUACGAUGCGGCUUCAUAUCCUUAGAGGUAUGAAGGCAGAAGUCAUCCUUGCAUUUGCAGACAUUUGCACUCAUGAGGUAUAUAUGAAGUGUGACAUUACUAUGUUACUAUUGUGGUUUCUACCUGCAAGGUGUGGUAAUUAGGUGUGUUGUACGUUGUAUACGUGCUGCACCUUCGUAAUAAGAAGGUUGUGGAAUCAAGUGGUGGUAAAACAAUGUUCUUAUGUGGAUAAACAUUUUGAUAUUAUUUUACUUGCUGAGAUGUGUCAUCUCACUCUUGCAUUACUCAAUGUAGGUACUUGAUACAUGUUGGGAAUGAGGGGAGUAGCAGCAUGUCCAUGUUCACUCUCACAAUAACGCUACCCAGGCGCAGCCAUGAUUUAAUUAGAAACUUAUUGUCAAAGGAAGUUUGUUUUUUUAUAGUCGUGCGCACUGGUUAAUUCAGUUCAGGUCGUAUAUUUAUCUUCCCUUGCUAGUCGAUUAAUAAUACUUAUUAUGUUUUUGUCAUGAUAUAUGUUUAUACACUAUUGCCCCCUCAUUUAUGCAAUCUUGCAAAGGGAAUGCUGCCGAAAUUUUAUAUAUGGGCGUCAGAAGUGUAGUUCAGUAGCAUUCCGGGUUGUUUGUGGAAUCCGGGGUGUUACAGUUGGUAUCAGAGGUAUAGGCUUUAGAUUCUACGCAAUUUGAAGAUAAAUUUGACACACUUGCACAUAUAGGAAGGGUAUGGGUUCGUAUAUCUUUCAUACUAGUAUUUUAUUGUAUAGAUGACUAGAAUUCCCUUACUCCAAAUCCCUUUAUGGUUGGGUGGGAUAUGUCGUUAACGACUUAAUGCGUGAUAUGAUAUGUUACUUCUAUUUAAUAUGGGUUUCUUGAUGUGGUUGUUAUUGAGGUUAUUAUGCAAGUGAAGCUACUAAUGUACUUGUUUUGUAUACAUAUCGUCAUGAUGUUUUUUUUGAUGCGAUGUUUUUCAAAUCUCUGAGCUAUUACUAUCAUAUAGUUCUAUAUGCGUGACUGUGGAUGUUUUUUUUAAAUGGAUUUUUUUGGUUCUAGUACUUGUAGGACCAAUUGUUUAUUGAGUUUGUGUAUAGUGGGUCUAAUCUGGCUUGGUGUGGUGUGAAAACACUAUAUAAUGUAGUUUUAUCAUGUUGUUGAGUCUGGUUGAAUGUUGGGUUACAACCCAACUACUUAUCAAUGUAAUAUUUCCAUGGAUGCAAUGCUUUGUGCCUCACCCCUUUGGGCUAAUAUGGCUACUUGCCAACUUGAUCUUAGAGUACAAUAGGUUUGUCUCCAUAGAGCAAAGGCAAUGUUGUAUUGUCUAUGAAAUCUUGAGACUGGUAGAACUCAAGUGGAUUUGUAAGAUGACGUGUAUAGUUAAGUUCAACCAUGUUUACAUGAUAGGUUUUCUUAUUUUGUGCAACCUUAUCUUUAAUAAAAAAAUAGGGUGAUUUCAAGUGGAUUUUAUGUCUAUAUUAUAGUUGACGAGGCAUGCAUGUUUUCCUUCUAUGGUUUGUUUCUAUAGCCAAAAAGGUUAUGCAUAAUUUUUUAUUUGUUGGAGGCUAGUCAUAUGGACGAUAUGGACAACCCGUUUUAUAUUGUUUUUAGUCGCAGAUGAUAUAUGGUAGUUUUUUUAUGAUCAAUUCUUUAUGCAUGCUUGUUGAAUUAUUAUUUGGACCGUUUUAUCUUAAACAAAGACAAUGAUUAACUGGAAGUUGCUUAUGUUUGUUAGUCAUCUAUCUUUAUAAUGAUGUGGUUGUUGCAUCAAAUGGAGAUUUUUUUAUAUGAAUGAUGGUUUGAUAGAUCAUGUAUGUCUACUACUUUGAAUUCAUCCUAUGACAUCACGAGGUACAAAUUGUGCAAGUGCAAUAAUAGGAGGUAUUGUUGUAUGUGAGGUUAAUCAAGGUAGUUUGGUUAGGUGGAAUGUCUUAUUGAAGUCCAAUUACUCCUGUUGAGCAUAGUAUCGUAUUAUUAUUUUAGUGUUGGAAGUAAUAUUUAUGAAGCUUUUGCAUGAGUCUAUGUCAAACAGUACAUUAGUUUUUCUUGUUGUUAUCCCUCCAUUGCUUUAUGAGUAUUGCAAAUUUUAUCUCUUUUGAGAGGAGGAAAAGAUGUUAUAUGACAUGAGCACCAUUUGCUUCACGUCAACGGAAUAGUUUUGGAGAUUUCUAGUAGUUGGAUUCUAGUGUAAUAACAACCAUGUUUUAUAGUGCUUGAGACGGGUAUGUCAGGUGUUUCAUACAUUGCUGAUACAUGGAUGUUUGACCUUAGUGGCAUUAACAAACGAGGUUGUUGAAUUCAUUGAUUGUUGUGCUUAGUGUUCUAACCUAUUUGGUAGAGUGUUAUUUAAAGACUUUGUGGAGUUGCAUCCCAGUUUGGUAGUGGAAAAUCCUAGUGUUGAUUGCACCUACCAAUGACUUGGGUUUCAUUUUAUAUGGUUUUUUUAUUGCUGUUAAUGUGUUGUUUGGUUUCGGGAGGCAUUUUAAAUUAGUUGGAGGCUGAAUCAGGCUUCCCUUAUCAAGAAUGUUUUGUAGUAUGUUUCUUCAUCUUUCCAUAGGAUGCUUAAUCACCAUGUUUGGUCUAAACAUUUGAGAGUUAUGGGUUUCUUAAAACAUCCUUGUUGGUGUCUCUGGCAGAAUGAGUCUUUAAUUUUGUACGGAAGAAUAGACCUUGAAGAUGGUAUAAUUUGGUCUUUGUUGGAUUAUGAAAGUUUUAGUAAUUUCAUGAUCUUUCCAAAGAGUAUUGGUUUGUAAUUUUCAUUGUAUAUAAUUGGAGUUAGGCUGCUCUGAAGUUGUUGCACCGUUGUGUCUGAACUUUAGGUGUCGUUAUAACCACCAAUAAAUCGACCGUGUUUUGAUAGUUUCAUAGCCCAAAUUUGGGAAUUCUCUUUAAGCAAAACUUUAGUUCUUCUCAGUACCUUUUAAAUGGGUAUUUACUUGUAAUUGUCUGUUAAAUAGAUUGGGAGAGGUGGUUGUCCGGUUAUAAGUCGAAUCUCCAAUGUGCAGUAUCUCGGGCUGAGUUUAGUUGUAGGUCAUGCAGAGUUGAGGGCUAUAAAGAUAAAUUUGGGUGCAACUUUAUUGCAAAAGUCGUGGACAAUUUUCAAACUUUUCCAACGCGUGUUCGUAGUAGUUUUAAGUUGAGUAUAGGAGGAGUUAUAGGUUUUUGAAUUUUAGUUGUCCAUUGUUUCCAUCCUAUCAGUUUUGCAACAAAAGAGUUGCAUCAUUUUAUCGGUUUGAAAACCAAUUUCGAGACACUCAUUAUAAUAAAAGUUUUACAGAAUGUUAUAAUCUUUUCAAUGGGUUUAAAUUUGCAAAAUUUUGUUAAGCUGCAGGGAGUUAUGAUAUUUUGAAUUUAUGUGUCAUGUUUCGUCAGUUUCUGGUGGCAGAUCAUGUAUGUCGCCUUACAAGUCAAAUUAAAAAUGGUAGAUGAAAAAAAAUUGUUUAUCCUUUGAAUACAAAAGUUGUAGAUCAUGAAGUUUAGAUGAUUUUACAAUAUUUCAUUGUUACCAUUGCUUUUAUAGUGAGAGGUAGAAAAAAUGAACAUUUGUGCUAUUGAGUGUCAAUUUUCUACUUAGUGAUUUUUUUUCAUGGGAGUUUGGUUUAGUUGUGGUGAGCUCUUUCGCAAUCCAUGUUAAUUAAGUUGUAUGGUGGGAGGGAAUAGACGUAGUGGUUGGGAUGGUUAUCUUGUUUAUGUAUAUGUGGAGUGUGGGCUGAAACACAGAGAUAGCAAGGAACGUUUGAAUAGGCCAGUACGUAUUGUUGUGAAGCCACGUUUUCUUGUAUUGGCGUGAUUGCGUAAGUAUGAAAUAGUUACGUCAUGUGAAGUCUAGGUUGAGAUGCAAUUUGUCUGAGUUAUUCGAUAGAUAUAUAUGUAUAGUAUAAUUAAAAAAAAGAGAGUUCCUAUAUGGGAUGAUAUAAUGUAUAGAAUGUGCUUGGAUGAAUAUGUGGGCAGGCCUAACAUGCUUAAACAGAUUCCUGUUUGCAUGAUGUGAGAUUAGGCUUAAAUGGUUUAAAAAGUUAUCAUAUUGCUUCUAUACUUAUAUUUGUUCUAAGUAUCUCGUAAUGAAGAACCUAAAGUUAUUAGUCUUUCAAUGAACGCUUAAUCAUAGAAGAGUAAUGAACCUGAUAAAAUCUAUUGCUUGUUGUUGGGACUGCAUGACCAGUUUUAGUUAUGCAGCUAGUUCAAUGAAGUAAACCAUCUUUUCUGUAGAGAUGUUAUAUAUAAAAGUUGUAGCCAACUUCUUUAUCUUACUUGUGUAAAAAUUUCAUGACCAUAGGUCUAGUAGUUUGGUAGUUAUGAUUUCCUCAAGUCCAGUCUUGAAAUCUGUGCAGAUUCUGCACAGAUUUCGAAACUGACCUUGUUUGCCCAAUUGAAACUUCGAAUAACUUAUUAUAAAUUAUAAAGAAGUUGUAGUACUUUUCUUAAUCUUUUCAACAAAUUUUGGAUCACCCUUUUUGGAGAUCUAUAAGUUAAGUUACAGCUGUUUUAAGUGUGAUCUCUGAAUCUGUCCAAAUUUGGACAGCAGAGCCUUUCUCAUGUCUUUUGACCUUGUUAUGCAUUGAAUUAACUUGAUAUGUUUAUAAAUGAAUUAUAGACAAUUCUACUAGCUUUCUAAAAAGUCUGGGAGCACCUGAAUUGGAUGACUGAGACUCCAAUUAUGGAUUUUUGAAUUGAGUAGUUGAAUUCAGUCCAAAUCUGGACAGAAUUUACGUUUAGCAUUGUUUGACCUUUCUAAGUGUCAAAUCUUGCUGUGAAGAUAAUACCAAGGGUAUAGUGGACUUUAUAAGCUUUCCAUAAAGUCCUAGUUUAUUAUUUUUGGAUGCUUAUUUUAUGAGUUAUGAACAAAACAAUUAACCGCUGUGCUGCUAUCCAGAGAUAUGCAAGCAUUAAGUUGCUCUCUUGAAGUUGCUCUUGUUUGGCUAAGUUUGGUUUAGGCUAUAGGAACACUGUAUGCAGUGCAUUCAUAUAUACAUUCCUUGAAGUACUUGCAUAUGUCAAUGAUUGAUUUGGUGUCAGGAAAGCUUUGUCCGAGGUAUAUAGGACCGUCUACUAUCUUAUCCGAGUUGGCAGCUGGGCUUAGCACAUGCAAUUAUCGGAAUCUAUGAUCAGAGUACACCAUGUAUUCCAUGUCUUUAUGUGGAGGAAGUAUUUGUGGAAUCCAGACCAUCAAAUCGAGCUAGAGCCGAUUCCUGUGUAGCAAGACCAGACUCUAAAGUGUCGUCUGCUGCGUAUCUUAGAAUCCUAGGAGCUUGAGGAGCUGAUGCGGUAGAAGUACCCGAACUUUACUUUAUGUGUGAGUUUUGUUGGUUCAUUAAUCUUUCCUUUGUCGUUUCGAUAGAAGCAUCGGAAUUCGAGGUCGAAUUCUUUUUAAGGGGGUAGAGUGUGAUACCCAAUUUUCAAAAAGAAGAGAAAUUGAAGUUUACUCUUUUUUUCUUUGUUUUCUCUUGCGGGUCCCGUGCUAUGGGGGGUUUGGAACUUUAGGAGGUAAACGUCUGUAAAACAGUAAAAUUUAUGUUUGAUGUGUGCGCGGGGGUCGAGAGCUCUGGCGUAGGAAUGGUUUUGGGCCGUUGAUCACGAUCCGGCGGUGGGAAGCCCACUUCCCCCCCCCCAAACCCUAGCCGCCCCCUCUCUUAAGGCCCCUUGUGGGCAGCCGCCCCCCUUUCCCUCCUUUGGCCUUCACCCUCCCCCCCUCUUCCCUCUUCUCUCUUCCCCAAGUGUUGCAGCCGCCCCCCUCUCCAUUCUCAAGUUUUUUUUGCAGCAGCCAUCUCCUCAACCCUAGCCGCCACCCCCCAUCUCCUCUUCUCCAUGUGUCGUUCUUUCUCGUCGGAUCUUCUUCGUGUGGGUGCAAGUUUCUAUUGGAGAAUUGGUGGGAGGAAGGAAGGAGGAAAAAGGUGGAACUCAAGGUGGUGGACUUCCGGAUCAUACUUAGGGAUUUGCCCGAACUUCCGGUAAAGGCAAGUAAAUACAGUGGUGGUUGCUACCGUUUGGUUUGCAUCCUAUUCCCUGUCAUUGAGUAUGCAUAAGUUUUAAAUAUGUUAAUCAUUGAAUUCUAUGAUGAAGUUUAUUUGUUUGGAAGUAUUAAUUCUCAAUUGUCUAAUAUUAUGGAUGAUCAUAAUUUGGUAAUGAUAUAUGUGGUUGAUUCCCAUCUUGGAUGAAGUUGAAGUAUCUUUUUGAAUCACAUUAUAUGAAGUGUUGUAGGCAUGUCAUGCACAUCGCAUCAUCCAUCUUGUAUUUUGAAGUUAUGUCGUGAUCUUAUGGUCCGACCGUACCGAUACAUUUUUAGCAUCGUAGUUGCCCGAGGAGGGGUACGAUGCGGCUUCAUAUCCUUAGAGGUAUGAAGGCAGAAGUCAUCCUUGCAUUUGCAGACAUUUGCACUCAUGAGGUAUAUAUGAAGUGUGACAUUACUAUGUUACUAUUGUGGUUUCUACCUGCAAGGUGUGGUAAUUAGGUGUGUUGUACGUUGUAUACGUGCUGCACCUUCGUAAUAAGAAGGUUGUGGAAUCAAGUGGUGGUAAAACAAUGUUCUUAUGUGGAUAAACAGUUUGAUAUUAUUUUACUUGCUGAGAUGUGUCAUCUCACUCUUGCAUUACUCAAUGCAGGUACUUGAUACAUGUUGGGAAUGAGGGGAGUAGCAGCACGUCCACUUUCACUCUCACAAUAACGCUGCCCAGGCGCAGCCAUGAUUUAAUUAGAAACUUAUUGUCAAAGGAAGUUUGGUUUUUUAUAGUCGUGCGCACUGGUUAAUUCAGUUCAGGUCGUAUGUUUAUCUUCCCUUGCUAGUUGAUUAAUAAUACUUAGUAUGUUUUUGUCAUGAUAUAUGUUUAUACACUAUUGCCCCCUCAUUUAUGCAAUCUUGCAAAGGGAAUGCUGCCGAAA